GCUGGGUGCGGUGGUUCACGCCUGUAAUCCUAGCACUUUGGGAGGCAGAGGUGGGUGGAUUGCUUGAGUCCAGGGGUUCGAGACCAGCCUGGGCAACAUAGCAAGACCCCAUCUCUA
Molecule: small RNA, 117 nt
Filed under: Pongo abelii (Sumatran orangutan)
Lineage: Eukaryota; Metazoa; Chordata; Mammalia; Primates; Hominidae
Description: Metazoan signal recognition particle RNA (ENSPPYG00000031256.1)
Source: Rfam by way of RNAcentral